AUUGAACGCUGGUGGCAGGCUUAACACAUGCAAGUCGAGCGGGGUGAUGGUGCUUGCACUAUCACUUAGCGGCGGACGGGUGAGUAAUGCUUAGGAAUCUGCCUAUUAGUGGGGGACAACAUCUCGAAAGGGAUGCUAAUACCGCAUACGUCCGACGGGAGAAAGCAGGGGAUCACUUGUGACCUUGCGCUAAUAGAUGAGCCUAAGUCGGAUUAGCUAGUUGGUGGGGUAAAGGCCUACCAAGGCGACGAUCUGUAGCGGGUCUGAGGGGAGGAUCCGCCACACUGGGACUGAGACACGGCCCAGACUCCUACGGGAGGCAGCAGUGGGGAAUAUUGGACAAUGGGGGGAACCCUGAUCCAGCCAUGCCGCGUGUGUGAAGAAGGCCUUAUGGUUGUAAAGCACUUUAAGCGAGGAGGAGGCUCUUUUGGUUAAUACCCAAGAUGAGUGGACGUUACUCGCAGAAUAAGCACCGGCUAACUCUGUGCCAGCCGCCGCAGUAA
RNAcentral lists this ribosomal RNA (503 nucleotides) under uncultured bacterium. RNAcentral's name for it is "partial 16S ribosomal RNA". It matches the Rfam family "Bacterial small subunit ribosomal RNA", at positions 30 to 523 of the family's 1533-position model. The record is from RNAcentral.